Molecule: long non-coding RNA, 545 nt
Organism: Phyllopteryx taeniolatus (common seadragon)
Lineage: Eukaryota; Metazoa; Chordata; Actinopteri; Syngnathiformes; Syngnathidae
Exons: 3
Source: RefSeq, a predicted model, not a curated record
GAGAAGAGCUCAGUGGAGCAAGUUGGGUGCAACAAGUGACUGCGGUUCCAGCCUCCAGUAAAAAAGUCAAGCCAGCAGAAACAACGGUUGUUCAUACUAAGCAUUACGUGUCUGCGCCUGACAUGCACCAGCAUCCUACAUGAGGGGCACGAGACGGACCUGAUCUACCGAGGUGGCAUAGGGUGGCAAAUGCCACCCUAAAAGAAAGCCUGCCAGCCCAAUUUGCAGCGACGAAUUUGACAUUUACGAUCAAGGAACACCAAUGUCUGACUGAAGGCAAUGCAGCACGAGAUGACGAGCGGCUGCAACGCCAGCGCAGUAACACACUGUUUUGUUUUGAAAAAGCGAGGGCGCUAGGACGCACGAGUCAGGAGGAAAGAAGACACAGGGGGAGAGAGACAUGGAGAGCAAAGGUAGCAUUUGCAGUUUUUGUCUCACCAAAGAGAAAGGGGACAGAAAGAGAAAAUGAACAGUUGAGCAAGGGUGAUGGAAAAGAUGAAGGUGAGGUGGAAUGAGAGAGAAAAGACGAAGGUGAGGUGGAAGGA